Molecule: ribosomal RNA, 207 nt
Filed under: uncultured bacterium
Lineage: Bacteria
Description: partial 16S ribosomal RNA
Rfam family: Bacterial small subunit ribosomal RNA
Source: RNAcentral
CGCGUAGGCGGUCUUUUAAGUCAGGUGUGAAAGCCCGGGGCUCAACCCCGGAAGUGCACUUGAAACUAAGAGACUUGAGUAUGGGAGAGGGAAGUGGAAUUCCUGGUGUAGCGGUGAAAUGCGUAGAUAUCAGGAGGAACAUCAGUGGCGAAGGCGACUUCCUGGACCAAUACUGACGCUGAGGCGCGAAAGCUGGGGGAGCGAAGA